CAGCCCCUCGAGUGGUGGGGAUGAUUAUUUGGCCUAAAGCGUCCGUAGCCAGCCAUGUAAGUCUCCCGUUAAAUCCAGCGUCUCAAGCGUUGGACUGCGGGAGAUACUGCAAGGCUAGAGGGUGGGAGAGGUAUGCGGUAUUCUGGGGGUAGGGGCGAAAUCCUUUGAUCCCCGGAGGACCACCAGUGGCGAAGGCUGCAUACUUGAACACGCCUGACGGUCAGGGACGAAAGCUGGGGUAGCGAACCGGAUUAGAUACCCGUGUAGUCC
RNAcentral lists this ribosomal RNA (270 nucleotides) under uncultured archaeon. RNAcentral describes it as "partial 16S ribosomal RNA". It matches the Rfam family "Archaeal small subunit ribosomal RNA", at positions 477 to 747 of the family's 1478-position model. The record is from RNAcentral.